This 492-nucleotide ribosomal RNA is filed under the name uncultured bacterium. Its description in RNAcentral is "partial 16S ribosomal RNA". It matches the Rfam family "Bacterial small subunit ribosomal RNA", at positions 29 to 507 of the family's 1533-position model. The record is from RNAcentral.
AUUGAACGCUGGCGGCAUGCUUUACACAUGCAAGUCGAACGGUAACAGGCCUUCGGGUGCUGACGAGUGGCGAACGGGCGAGUAAUGCAUCGGAACGUACCCAGAGGUGGGGGAUAACGCAGCGAAAGCUGUGCUAAUACCGCAUGUGAUCUGAGGAUGAAAGCGGGGGACCGAGCAGCAAUGUUUGGCCUCGCGCCUUUGGAGCGGCCGAUGUCGGAUUAGCUAGUUGGUGGGGUAAAGGCCUACCAAGGCGACGAUCCGUAGCUGGUCUGAGAGGACGGCCACCCACACUGGGACUGGGACACGGCCCAGACUCCUACGGGAGGCAGCAGUGGGGAAUUUUGGACAAUGGGCGCGAGCCUGAUCCAGCAAUGCCGCGUGCGGGAAGAAGGCCUUCGGGUUGUAAACCGCUUUUGGCAGGAACGAAACGGUGUCCGCUAAUACCGGGCGCUAAUGACGGUACCUGCAGAAUAAGCACCGGCUAACUACGUG